CUGCCCCUUUAACAGAGGUGGCAGUUGUUGAGCGCUGUUUUCAGUGAGCCAAAAGCUGACAGGUGUGUGCAUCGUACUUUAGCAAAAAUCUUUGCAAGUCCACUGACCGAUGCAUGGUGCGUGUGUAGAUGUGAGAAGAGAAAAAAGAGGAAAAGUUAGAAUUGAAAUGAUAAAAAACUCAGAAGUCAUGAAACUAAACGAGAAGAGACUGUCAGCGAGCUGCGAGUUCGAGUAGGACGACGUAAACUGUGUAAACAAUUGAUUUCCCGGCUGGUUUUUUUUUGAGUCCUUCGCCUGGGUCCUCAGUCCUUGGUUCCUACCCUGUCAUCCAUCCCCAUCUCCAUCCCAGUGGCUACUUUCCCUUGGACGUGAGGUCAUCCAUAUCUCCAUCCACAUCUUCAUCUUCACCGUGAUACUUACCAUUGGACGUUCACUGUUAAAGAGGGCGGUAGGACUUUGAGUGCACUCGUUUUAUUUUAUUUAUUUGGGCCCAUUUUUCCAUUUUUUUUUCUAGUUUUUUAUUCAUUUGAACUUUUGGGACAGUUUGCUUUUCAGUACCUGAGAUCUCAGAGGUUUUUGUUACUUGUAUUUUAUAUAUUUUUUUUUGUAUUUUGGGUUCAAUUGUGGUUGAAAGAUCUUUGUUUAAUGUACCUCCUUUAAACUUUCA
Molecule: long non-coding RNA, 667 nt
Organism: Mugil cephalus (flathead mullet)
Lineage: Eukaryota; Metazoa; Chordata; Actinopteri; Mugiliformes; Mugilidae
Exons: 2
Source: RefSeq, a predicted model, not a curated record